GCUGUUCGCCAUUUAAAGUGGUACGCGAGCUGGGUUUAGAACGUCGUGAGACAGUUCGGUCCCUAUCUGCCGUGGGCGCUGGAGAACUGAGGGGGGCUGCUCCUAGUACGAGAGGACCGGAGUGGACGCAUCACUGGUGUUCGGGUUGUCAUGCCAAUGGCACUGCCCGGUAGCUAAAUGCGGAAGAGAUAAGUGCUGAAAGCAUCUAAGCACGAAACUUGCCCCGAGAUGAGUUCUCCCUGAGACUUUAGGUCUCCUGAAGGAACGUUGAAGACGACGACGUUGAUAGGCCGGGUGUGUAAGCGCAGCGAUGCGUUGAGCUAACCGGUACUAAUGAACCGUGAGGCUUAACCUUACAACGCCGAAG
RNAcentral lists this ribosomal RNA (367 nucleotides) under Salmonella enterica subsp. enterica serovar Oranienburg. Its description in RNAcentral is "bacterial LSU rRNA". It matches the Rfam family "Bacterial large subunit ribosomal RNA", at positions 2576 to 2925 of the family's 2925-position model. The record is from RNAcentral. RNAcentral also lists the same sequence under 1 other name. Lineage: Bacteria; Pseudomonadati; Pseudomonadota; Gammaproteobacteria; Enterobacterales; Enterobacteriaceae.